Molecule: small RNA, 702 nt
Filed under: Pan troglodytes (chimpanzee)
Lineage: Eukaryota; Metazoa; Chordata; Mammalia; Primates; Hominidae
Description: retained intron
Source: RNAcentral
UAGUCUUUUUUCUUUUUCUCAUAUUUAGAUAAUAACCUUUUGGAAAAAAUACUUGCUCUAGUUUAGUAUUUUUCAUGCUGUGCCUCCAGCUUUAUGUUAUGGUUUAAUAGUAUCCCUUUGGCUUGGGGUUGGGAAGAUUUAGAAAUAAGAGUAUAUUAGAUAUGUAAUAAGCUUGAAAAGACAUCUUGUGGAAAUAGAUCCUUGGGAAAACACUUAGAUGGAAACAACAUUUAGAACUCUGUGAAAUGGAAUUUACUGAAAACUUAGAGGUGCUACUGUUUUCCUAAGCACUCUACUUGUGACAGUUAAGUGUAGAUUGAGCCCAGGGCUCAGCACAUUAGAGACUUAAGGAAGAAAUCAUUUCUUCAAUUUUUCCUCUGCAGUGGUGGUGACCGCGGUGGCUUCAAAAAUUUUGGUGGUCACAGGGAUUAUGGACCCAGAACAGAUGCUGAUUCAGAAUCUGAUAAUUCAGAUAACAACACAAUCUUUGUGCAAGGACUUGGGGAGGGUGUGUCUACAGAUCAAGUUGGGGAGUUCUUUAAACAAAUAGGAAUUAUCAAGACAAAUAAGAAGACCGGAAAACCAAUGAUAAAUCUUUAUACAGACAAGGACACAGGAAAGCCAAAGGGGGAGGCAACAGUGUCAUUUGAUGACCCUCCUUCAGCUAAGGCAGCCAUUGACUGGUUUGAUGGAAAAGAAUUC